This 224-nucleotide long non-coding RNA is filed under the name Musa acuminata (dwarf banana). Its description in RNAcentral is "long non-coding RNA (MACU_LNC011836)". Lineage: Eukaryota; Viridiplantae; Streptophyta; Magnoliopsida; Zingiberales; Musaceae. The record is from RNAcentral.
GGGGAGAAAUAUAUGAGUAUUGAUGCCAUGCUCGCAUCACCAAGAGAUGCUAUAAUUGCUAUAAUCAGGUCAAGAUAUCAAACAAAAAACUUGCAUCGUAAUUUUACGUAUUGAUAUCUUACCAUGUGAUGAAAUGCAAUAAUUGCUAAAACAUCAUUUGAAAUGUGUGCAUCAUGUAAUGAUAUCAAAAUCUUACUUCACAGUUUUACAUGUUGAUAUCUUAC